AUUUAAAUAGUUUAAUAUAAAAAUAUUAAUUUGUGGAAUUAAUGAUAAAAUUUAGGUUUUUUUAAAUA
RNAcentral lists this transfer RNA (68 nucleotides) under Ylodes simulans. RNAcentral's name for it is "tRNA-His". The record is from RNAcentral. Lineage: Eukaryota; Metazoa; Arthropoda; Insecta; Trichoptera; Leptoceridae.